GUGCUCCCUUUGGCAGCAAAUAUACUAAAACUGGAACAAUACAGAGAAGAUUAGCAUUUCCAUUCCAUAGUUUUCUAUACAUUUAGAAUAAAUAUGCAAUUUU
Monodelphis domestica (gray short-tailed opossum) is the source of this 103-nucleotide small nuclear RNA. The record is from Ensembl. Lineage: Eukaryota; Metazoa; Chordata; Mammalia; Didelphimorphia; Didelphidae.